Molecule: long non-coding RNA, 532 nt
Organism: Asparagus officinalis (garden asparagus)
Lineage: Eukaryota; Viridiplantae; Streptophyta; Magnoliopsida; Asparagales; Asparagaceae
Exons: 2
Source: RefSeq, a predicted model, not a curated record
AAUUAUUAUUAAUUGAGUUUUUGCUAACUCAAUUCUCUUGUAUCUUGCAGCAUUGGACAAAAUUCAUCUUAUUCAUUCUAUGUCUAUAAAGGAUCAGAAGAUUCUGAUAAACUGUGGCAGAGGCCAAUUCGAAUCUUCAACACCUAGCAUGUUUUUCCUCAAUGUAUCUUCAUUUAAAAUGAGGUGCUCCUGGCCGGACAAGAGGACUAAUUAUCUCUGCAAUCAACUCAUCGACAAAUAAUAUUAAUGGGUUCAAACAACUUUAACAAUCCAUACAUCAGGCAAUUGGAGAAAGAUGUCUGCACUAUCACUGACAUGUUAUUGAUUUUGUACUACGACAUAAGAGAUGAAACAGAGUAGUGUUUGAACACCAAGAGAGCUAGCAUGUUAAGUUGUAGUUGAGACAUGGUUAUGGUUCAUUCGUUGCUAUUAGAUAAAUCAUUAUGUUCUGUGAUCUAAGUGAAAUGAGAUUGCAAAAAAUUGUUUCAUGGGUGGUGAUGCCUACAUUUAUAGUAUCAUUGCUUUUAGCCUG